RNAcentral lists this ribosomal RNA (468 nucleotides) under uncultured bacterium. RNAcentral describes it as "partial 16S ribosomal RNA". It matches the Rfam family "Bacterial small subunit ribosomal RNA", at positions 28 to 507 of the family's 1533-position model. The record is from RNAcentral.
GACGAACGCUGGCGGCGUGCUUAACACAUGCAAGUCGAACGGAAAGGCCCUGCUUUUGUGGGGUGCUCGAGUGGCGAACGGGUGAGUAACACGUGAGUAACCUGCCCUUGACUUUGGGAUAACUUCAGGAAACUGGGGCUAAUACCGGAUAGGAGCUCCUGCUGCAUGGUGGGGGUUGGAAAGUUUCGGCGGUUGGGGAUGGACUCGCGGCUUAUCAGCUUGUUGGUGGGGUAGUGGCUUACCAAGGCUUUGACGGGUAGCCGGCCUGAGAGGGUGACCGGCCACAUUGGGCCUGAGAUACGGCCCAGACUCCUACGGGAGGCAGUAGUGGGGAAUAUUGCACAAUGGGCGGAAGCCUGAUGCAGCAACGCCGCGUGCGGGAUGACGGCCUUCGGGUUGUAAACCGCUUUCGCCUGUGACGAAGCGUGAGUGACGGUAAUGGGUAAAGAAGCACCGGCUAACUACGUA